AGAGUUUGAUCCUGGCUCAGGAUGAACGCUAGCGGCAGGCUUAACACAUGCAAGUCGAGGGGUAGUAGUAGCAAUACUAUGAGACCGGCAAACGGGUGCGGAACACGUACACAAUCUACCUUUAUCUGGGGCAUAGCCCGAAGAAAUUCGGAUUAAUUCCCCAUAAUAUAAUUGGAUGGCAUCAUUUGAUUAUUAAAACUCCGGUGGAUAGAGAUGAGUGUGCGUCCCAUUAGCUAGUUGGUAGGGUAACGGCCUACCAAGGCGACGAUGGGUAGCUGGUGUGAGAGCACGACCAGCCACACGGGCACUGAGACACGGGCCCGACUCCUACGGGAGGCAGCAGUGAGGAAUAUUGGUCAAUGGACGCAAGUCUGAACCAGCCAUGCCGCGUGAAGGAUGAAGGCCUUCUGGGUUGUAAACUUCUUUUAUGUGGGAAGAAAACUACGGUUUCUACUGUAGCCGACGGUACCAUAGGAAUAAGCACCGGCUAACUCCGUGCCGGCAGCCGCGGUAAUACGGAGGGUGCAAGCGUUAUCCGGAUUCACUGGGUUUAAAGGGUGUGUAGGCGGGCUGUUAAGUCAGUGGUGAAAUCUCCGGGCUCAACCCGGAAACUGCCAUUGAUACUAUCAGUCUUGAAUUCUGUUGAGGUGGGCGGAAUAUGUCAUGUAGCGGUGAAAUGCAUAGAUAUGACAUAGAACACCAAUUGCGAAGGCAGCUCACUAAGCAGCGAUUGACGCUGAGGCACGAAAGCGUGGGGAUCAAACAGGAUUAGAUACCCUGGUAGUCC
RNAcentral lists this ribosomal RNA (787 nucleotides) under uncultured bacterium. Its description in RNAcentral is "bacterial SSU rRNA". It matches the Rfam family "Bacterial small subunit ribosomal RNA", at positions 8 to 796 of the family's 1533-position model. The record is from RNAcentral.